GGGUGAGUAACACGUAGGGAACCUGCCCGCGCACCGGGAAUACGCUCUGGAAACGGAGAACAAAUCCCGAUGUACAGGAAGGAGGCAUCUUCUUUCUGUGAAACAUCCUUUAGGGGAUGGGGCGCGGAUGGACCUGCGGUGCAUUAGUUGGUUGGCGGGGUAAAGGCCCACCAAGACGAUGAUGCAUAGCCGGCCUGAGAGGGCGGACGGCCACAUUGGGACUGAGACACGGCCCAGACUCCUGCGGGAGGCAGCAGUAGGGAAUUUUCGUCAAUGGGCGCAAGCCUGAACGAGCGAUGCCGCGUGAGUGAAGAAGGCCUUCGGGUCGUAAAGCUCUGUUGCGGGGGAAAAAAGGCAGCAUCAGGAAAUGGGUGCUGACUGAUGGUGCCCCGCCAGAAAGUCACGGCUAACUACGUGCCAGCAGCCGCGGUAAUACGUAGGUGGCGAGCGUUAUCCGGAAUGAUUGGGCGUAAAGGGUGCGCAGGCGGUCCUGCAAGUCUGGAGUGAAACGCAUGAGCUCAACUCAUGCAUGGCUUUGGAAACUGGAGGACUGGAGAGCAGGAGAGGGCGGUGGAACUCCAUGUGUAGCGGUAAAAUGCGUAGACAUAUGGAAGAACACCAGUGGCGAAGGCGGCCGCCUGGCCUGUUGCUGACGCUGAGGCACGAAAGCGUGGGGAGCAAAUAGGAUUAGAUACCCUAGUAGUCCACGCCGUAAACGAUG
RNAcentral lists this ribosomal RNA (721 nucleotides) under uncultured bacterium. RNAcentral describes it as "bacterial SSU rRNA". It matches the Rfam family "Bacterial small subunit ribosomal RNA", at positions 104 to 811 of the family's 1533-position model. The record is from RNAcentral.